AUUGAACGCUGGCGGCAUGCCUUACACAUGCAAGUCGAACGGUAACAGGCCUUCGGGUGCUGACGAGUGGCGAACGGGUGAGUAAUGCAUCGGAACGUACCCAGAGGUGGGGGAUAACGCAGCGAAAGCUGUGCUAAUACCGCAUGUGAUCUGAGGAUGAAAGCGGGGGACCGAGCAGCAAUGUUUGGCCUCGCGCCUUUGGAGCGGCCGAUGUCGGAUUAGCUAGUUGGUGGGGUAAAGGCCUACCAAGGCGACGAUCCGUAGCUGGUCUGAGAGGACGACCAGCCACACUGGGACUGAGACACGGCCCAGACUCCUACGGGAGGCAGCAGUGGGGAAUUUUGGACAAUGGGCGCAAGCCUGAUCCAGCAAUGCCGCGUGCGGGAAGAAGGCCUUCGGGUUGUAAACCGCUUUUGGCAGGAACGAAACGGUGUCCGCUAAUACCGGGCGCUAAUGACGGUACCUGCAGAAUAAGCACCGGCUAACUACGUG
Molecule: ribosomal RNA, 492 nt
Filed under: uncultured bacterium
Lineage: Bacteria
Description: partial 16S ribosomal RNA
Rfam family: Bacterial small subunit ribosomal RNA
Source: RNAcentral